UGCAGUCGAGGGGUAACAGGGAGUGCUUGCACUUUGCUGACGACCGGCGCACGGGUGCGUAACGCGUAUACAAUCUACCUUUUGCUGAGGGAUAGCCCAGAGAAAUUUGGAUUAAGACCUCAUGGUAUUAUUAAUUGGCAUCGAUUGAUAAUUAAAGGUUACGGCAGAAGAUGAGUAUGCGUCCUAUUAGCUAGAUGGUGUGGUAACGGCACACCAUGGCCACGAUAGGUAGGGGCCCUGAGAGGGGGAUCCCCCACACUGGUACUGAGACACGGACCAGACUCCUACGGGAGGCAGCAGUGAGGAAUAUUGGUCAAUGGAGGCAACUCUGAACCAGCCAUGCCGCGUGCAGGAAGACUGCCCUAUGGGUUGUAAACUGCUUUUAUACGGGAAGAAACGCAGCCACGUGUGGUUGUUUGACGGUACCGUAAGAAUAAGGAUCGGCUAACUCCGUGCCAGCAGCCGCGGUAAUACGGAGGAUCCAAGCGUUAUCCGGAAUCAUUGGGUUUAAAGGGUCCGUAGGUGGAUUAAUAAGUCAGAGGUGAAAUCCUGCAGCUCAACUGUAGAACUGCCUUUGAAACUGUUAAUCUUGAGUCAUUAUGAAGUGGUUAGAAUGUGUAGUGUAGCGGUGAAAUGCAUAGAUAUUACACAGAAUACCGAUUGCGAAGGCAGAUCACUAAUAAUGUACUGACACUGAGGGACGAAAGCGUGGGGAGCGAACAGGAUUAGAUACCCUGGUAGUCCACGCCGUAAACGAUGGUCACUAGCUGUUCGGACUUCGGUCUGAGUGGCUAAGCGAAAGUGAUAAGUGA
RNAcentral lists this ribosomal RNA (812 nucleotides) under uncultured marine bacterium. RNAcentral describes it as "bacterial SSU rRNA". It matches the Rfam family "Bacterial small subunit ribosomal RNA", at positions 56 to 867 of the family's 1533-position model. The record is from RNAcentral.